This 421-nucleotide ribosomal RNA is filed under the name uncultured bacterium. Its description in RNAcentral is "bacterial SSU rRNA". It matches the Rfam family "Bacterial small subunit ribosomal RNA", at positions 29 to 486 of the family's 1533-position model. The record is from RNAcentral.
AACGAACGCUGGCGGCAUGCCUAACACAUGCAAGUCGAACGGGAUCCUAGCUUGCUAGGUGAGAGUGGCGGACGGGUGAGUAACACGUGGGAAUCUGCCUUUUGGUUCGGGAUAACCGCGGAAACUGCGGCUAAUACCGAAUGCCCUCGAGAGAGGAAAGAUUUAUCGCCAGAAGAGGAGCCCGCGUCCGAUUAGGUAGUUGGUGGGGUAAAGGCCUACCAAGCCGACGAUCGGUAGCUGGUCUGAGAGGAUGAUCAGCCACACUGGGACUGAGAUACGGCCCCAGACUCCUACGGGAGGCAGCAGUGGGGAAUAUUGGACAAUGGGGGGCAACCCUGAUCCAGCCAAUGCCGCGUGAGUGAUGAAGGCCUUAGGGUUAGUAAAGCUCUUUUGCCAGGAGAUGAUGACUGUACCUGGAGAA